UACGGAGGAUCCGAGCGUUAUCCGGAUUUAUCGGGUUUAAAGGGAGCGUAGGCGGGUUGUUAAGUCAGUUGUGAAAGUUUGCGGCUCAACCGUAAAAUUGCAGUUGAUACUGGCAUCCUUGAGUACAGUAGAGGUAGGCGGAAUUCGUGGUGUAGCGGUGAAAUGCUUAGAUAUCACGAAGAACUACGAUUGCGAAGGCAGCCUGCUGGACUGUAACUGACGCUGAUGCUCGAAAGUGUGGGUAUCAAACAGG
This 253-nucleotide ribosomal RNA is filed under the name uncultured bacterium. Its description in RNAcentral is "partial 16S ribosomal RNA". It matches the Rfam family "Bacterial small subunit ribosomal RNA", at positions 524 to 776 of the family's 1533-position model. The record is from RNAcentral.